UUCUUUAGCCAUAUCACCCUGCAGCCCAAGAGCGGUUUACUGAAGUUAGGCAGGGCUGAGCCUGGCCAGUACCUGGAUAGGAGACCACAUGGGAAAACUAGGUUGCUGUUGGAA
Molecule: ribosomal RNA, 114 nt
Filed under: Danio rerio (zebrafish)
Lineage: Eukaryota; Metazoa; Chordata; Actinopteri; Cypriniformes; Danionidae
Source: RNAcentral